This 241-nucleotide long non-coding RNA is filed under the name Mus musculus (house mouse). Its description in RNAcentral is "predicted gene, 50251". The record is from RNAcentral. Lineage: Eukaryota; Metazoa; Chordata; Mammalia; Rodentia; Muridae. RNAcentral also lists the same sequence under 1 other name.
UGUCAGCUGCACGUUCUUCCCAGGCCGUGAGCCCUGCACUGAGUACGGAAUAGGGUCUUGGGACCCUGACCUCGCAGACCGGACGAGGGCGCCCGAUGAUGGAGUCCAGGUUGAGCUUCUCGCUGUCGGACAUGGCGGCGCCGCCGCUCCGGCCCACCAGCUCCGGGCCCUCUCCUGCCUCCCGCCCUCUUACAGCCUCCUUCCGGCCUGGCUCUCCUUCCGCCCUCCCCAGCCCGCCCCC